This 253-nucleotide ribosomal RNA is filed under the name uncultured bacterium. RNAcentral describes it as "partial 16S ribosomal RNA". It matches the Rfam family "Bacterial small subunit ribosomal RNA", at positions 524 to 776 of the family's 1533-position model. The record is from RNAcentral.
UACAGAGGUCUCAAGCGUUGUUCGGAUUCAUUGGGCGUAAAGGGUGCGUAGGUGGCGCUGUAAGUCGGGUGUGAAAUUUCGGAGCUUAACUCCGAAACUGCAUUCGAUACUGCGGUGCUUGAGGACUGGAGAGGAGACUGGAAUUCAUGGUGUAGCAGUGAAAUGCGUAGAGAUCAUGAGGAAGACCAGUGGCGAAGGCGGGUCUCUGGACAGUUCCUGACACUGAGGCACGAAGGCCAGGGGAGCGAACAGG